This 703-nucleotide ribosomal RNA is filed under the name Priestia megaterium. RNAcentral's name for it is "bacterial SSU rRNA". It matches the Rfam family "Bacterial small subunit ribosomal RNA", at positions 70 to 757 of the family's 1533-position model. The record is from RNAcentral. Lineage: Bacteria; Bacillati; Bacillota; Bacilli; Caryophanales; Bacillaceae.
GAUUAGAAGCUUGCUUCUAUGACGUUAGCGGCGGACGGGUGAGUAACACGUGGGCAACCUGCCUGUAAGACUGGGAUAACUUCGGGAAACCGAAGCUAAUACCGGAUAGGAUCUUCUCCUUCAUGGGAGAUGAUUGAAAGAUGGUUUCGGCUAUCACUUACAGAUGGGCCCGCGGUGCAUUAGCUAGUUGGUGAGGUAACGGCUCACCAAGGCAACGAUGCAUAGCCGACCUGAGAGGGUGAUCGGCCACACUGGGACUGAGACACGGCCCAGACUACUACGGGAGGCAGCAGUAGGGAAUCUUCCGCAAUGGACGAAAGUCUGACGGAGCAACGCCGCGUGAGUGAUGAAGGCUUUCGGGUCGUAAAACUCUGUUGUUAGGGAAGAACAAGUACGAGAGUAACUGCUCGUACCUUGACGGUACCUAACCAGAAAGCCACGGCUAACUACGUGCCAGCAGCCGCGGUAAUACGUAGGUGGCAAGCGUUAUCCGGAAUUAUUGGGCGUAAAGCGCGCGCAGGCGGUUUCUUAAGUCUGAUGUGAAAGCCCACGGCUCAACCGUGGAGGGUCAUUGGAAACUGGGGAACUUGAGUGCAGAAGAGAAAAGCGGAAUUCCACGUGUAGCGGUGAAAUGCGUAGAGAUGUGGAGGAACACCAGUGGCGAAGGCGGCUUUUUGGUCUGUAACUGACGCUGAGGCGCGAA